RNAcentral lists this ribosomal RNA (461 nucleotides) under Lactobacillus acidophilus. Its description in RNAcentral is "bacterial SSU rRNA". It matches the Rfam family "Bacterial small subunit ribosomal RNA", at positions 48 to 476 of the family's 1533-position model. The record is from RNAcentral. Lineage: Bacteria; Bacillati; Bacillota; Bacilli; Lactobacillales; Lactobacillaceae.
UUAAUACAUGCAAGUCGAGCGAGCUGAACCAACAGAUUCACUUCGGUGAUGACGUUGGGAACCCGAGCGGCGGAUGGGUGAGUAACACGUGGGGAACCUGCCCCAUAGUCUGGGAUACCACUUGGAAACAGGUGCUAAUACCGGAUAAGAAAGCAGAUCGCAUGAUCAGCUUAUAAAAGGCGGCGUAAGCUGUCGCUAUGGGAUGGCCCCGCGGUGCAUUAGCUAGUUGGUAGGGUAACGGCCUACCAAGGCAAUGAUGCAUAGCCGAGUUGAGAGACUGAUCGGCCACAUUGGGACUGAGACACGGCCCAAACUCCUACGGGAGGCAGCAGUAGGGAAUCUUCCACAAUGGACGAAAGUCUGAUGGAGCAACGCCGCGUGAGUGAAGAAGGUUUUCGGAUCGUAAAGCUCUGUUGUUGGUGAAGAAGGAUAGAGGUAUUAACUGGCCUUUAUUUGACGGU